UACAUGGGGUGCAAACGUUGCUCGGAAUUAUUGGGCGUAAAGCGCACGUAGGUGGUCUGUUAUGUCAGAUGUGAAAGCCCUCGGCUUAACUGAGGAAGUGCACCUGAAACUGGCAGGCUUGAGUACGAAAGAGGGUCGCGGAAUUCCCGGUGUAGAGGUGAAAUUCGUAGAUAUCGGGGGGAACACCGGUGGCGAAGGCGGCGACCUGGUUCGAUACUGACACUGAGGUGCGAAAGCGUGGGGAGCAAACAGG
This 253-nucleotide ribosomal RNA is filed under the name uncultured bacterium. RNAcentral describes it as "partial 16S ribosomal RNA". It matches the Rfam family "Bacterial small subunit ribosomal RNA", at positions 524 to 776 of the family's 1533-position model. The record is from RNAcentral.